CUUGACAUCCAGCGAACUUUCCAGAGAUGGAUUGGUGCCUUCGGGAACGCUGAGACAGGUGCUGCAUGGCUGUCGUCAGCUCGUGUUGUGAAAUGUUGGGUUAAGUCCCGNAACGAGCGCAACCCUUAUCCUUUGUUGCCAGCGAUUCGGUCGGGAACUCAAAGGAGACUGCCGGUGAUAAACCGGAGGAAGGUGGGGAUGACGUCAAGUCAUCAUGGCCCUUACGAGUAGGGCUACACACGUGCUACAAUGGCGCAUACAAAGAGAAGCGACCUCGCGAGAGCAAGCGGACCUCAUAAAGUGCGUCGUAGUCCGGAUCGGAGUCUGCAACUCGACUCCGUGAAGUCGGAAUCGCUAGUAAUCGUGGAUCAGAAUGCCACGGUGAAUACGUUCCCGGGCCUUGUACACACCGCCCGUCACACCAUGGGAGUGGGUUGCAAAAGAAGUAGGUAGCUUAACCUCCGGGAGGGCGCUUACCACUUUGUGAUUCAUGACUGGGGUGAAGUCGUAACAAGGUAGGCGUAGUGCU
RNAcentral lists this ribosomal RNA (529 nucleotides) under uncultured bacterium. RNAcentral describes it as "bacterial SSU rRNA". It matches the Rfam family "Bacterial small subunit ribosomal RNA", at positions 980 to 1509 of the family's 1533-position model. The record is from RNAcentral.